This 84-nucleotide small RNA is filed under the name Halpernia frigidisoli. RNAcentral describes it as "Flavo-1 RNA". It matches the Rfam family "Flavo-1 RNA". Lineage: Bacteria; Pseudomonadati; Bacteroidota; Flavobacteriia; Flavobacteriales; Weeksellaceae. The record is from Rfam by way of RNAcentral.
CUGCGGCCGUGAUAGAAGCGGCAUCCUUUUUUGGCGCGAGCGCAGCGAGCGCCAAAAAAGAUACAGCGGAUAGCGCGAAUUGUC